Molecule: ribosomal RNA, 1470 nt
Filed under: metagenome
Description: bacterial SSU rRNA
Rfam family: Bacterial small subunit ribosomal RNA
Source: RNAcentral
AGAGUUUGAUCCUGGCUCAGGACGAACGCUGGCGGCACGCUUAACACAUGCAAGUCGAACGAGAGAAGAGGAGCUUGCUUUUCUGAUCUAGUGGCGGACGGGUGAGUAACACGUGAGCAAUCUGCCUUUCAGAGGGGGAUACCGAUUGGAAACGAUCGUUAAUACCGCAUAACAUAAUUGAACCGCAUGAUUUGAUUAUCAAAGAUUUAUCGCUGAAAGAUGAGCUCGCGUCUGAUUAGCUAAUUGGUAAGGUAACGGCUUACCAAGGCGACGAUCAGUAGCCGGACUGAGAGGUUGAUCGGCCACAUUGGGACUGAGACACGGCCCAGACUCCUACGGGAGGCAGCAGUGGGGAAUAUUGCACAAUGGAGGAAACUCUGAUGCAGCGAUGCCGCGUGAGGGAAGAAGGUUUUAGGAUUGUAAACCUCUGUCUUCAGGGACGAAAAAAGACGGUACCUGAGGAGGAAGCUCCGGCUAACUACGUGCCAGCAGCCGCGGUAAUACGUAGGGAGCGAGCGUUGUCCGGAAUUACUGGGUGUAAAGGGAGCGUAGGCGGGAUCGCAAGUCAGAUGUGAAAACUAUGGGCUUAACCCAUAAACUGCAUUUGAAACUGUGGUUCUUGAGUGAAGUAGAGGUAAGCGGAAUUCCUAGUGUAGCGGUGAAAUGCGUAGAUAUUAGGAGGAACAUCAGUGGCGAAGGCGGCUUACUGGGCUUUAACUGACGCUGAGGCUCGAAAGCGUGGGGAGCAAACAGGAUUAGAUACCCUGGUAGUCCACGCCGUAAACGAUGAUUACUAGGUGUGGGGGGACUGACCCCUUCCGUGCCGCAGCAAACGCAAUAAGUAAUCCACCUGGGGAGUACGACCGCAAGGUUGAAACUCAAAGGAAUUGACGGGGGCCCGCACAAGCAGUGGAGUAUGUGGAUUAAUUCGAAGCAACGCGAAGAACCUUACCAGGUCUUGACAUCGUAUGCAUAGCUCAGAGAUGAGUGAAAUCUCUUCGGAGACAUAUAGACAGGUGGUGCAUGGUUGUCGUCAGCUCGUGUCGUGAGAUGUUGGGUUAAGUCCCGCAACGAGCGCAACCCUUACUGUUAGUUGCUACGCAAGAGCACUCUAGCAGGACUGCCGUUGACAAAACGGAGGAAGGUGGGGAUGACGUCAAAUCAUCAUGCCCCUUAUGACCUGGGCCUCACACGUACUACAAUGGCUGUCAACAGAGGGAAGCAAAGCCGCGAGGUGGAGCGAACCCCUAAAAGCAGUCUUAGUUCGGAUUGUAGGCUGCAACCCGCCUACAUGAAGUCGGAAUUGCUAGUAAUCGCAGAUCAGCAUGCUGCGGUGAAUACGUUCCCGGGCCUUGUACACACCGCCCGUCACGCCAUGGGAGUCGGUAACACCCGAAGCCUGUAGUCUAACCGCAAGGAGGACGCAGUCGAAGGUGGGAUUGAUGACUGGGGUGAAGUCGUAACAAGGUA